Cryptomeria japonica (Japanese cedar) is the source of this 721-nucleotide long non-coding RNA. RefSeq lists it as uncharacterized. The record is from RefSeq and is a predicted model, not a curated record. Lineage: Eukaryota; Viridiplantae; Streptophyta; Pinopsida; Cupressales; Cupressaceae. The transcript is spliced from 4 exons.
AUUAGUUUUUUAAUCAAGCUUGUGCACUACAUGAGAUUUCUGACUAUUUCUUGUCAUUUGUGCUGCGUUAAUGUCAGUUACGAAGAGAUGCCUUUGCCAACAGAGAUAGACGCACAAUCGUAUCUGAUUUCAGUAAAAGAGCAUUUCAAGGAUGAUACAGGAGAAUUUGCACAGUUUAUUCAAAUUCUCAAUGAUUUUAGGUCAAAGACAUGUGAUGCGAUUGGGAUUAUCACCAGAUUGAAACAGCUGGUUAAGAGCCAUGAACUUCUUUUAAGUUUCAAGAAAUUCCUCCCAAAAGGCUUGGAAAUCUUGUGUCCUUCCAAAGAUUGUCUACGAAACAAACAGUGACUUCAGCUUAAGGAAACCCUAAGAUAUAUUCAGAAGAUAAGCAUACGCGCUUCCAAGAUGAAGAAUAUAUACGCAAGGGAUUUUGCAUUCUUGGAAAAUGUUCAGAAGUUGUGGAUGAAUUUAAUGAAAUCAUUUCUCAAAGUACAAAUGGGAUAGCUGUGCCUUUAGCUAGAGAUGGACACAAAGAUCAACAUCACAAAUCAAGGGCUAUGUUGGGUAGCAAUGCUUUACUAGCUUCAGACAAUGAGAAAAUCACAUACAAUUCCAUAUCAGAGAUGGACCUUUCUCAUUUGGAGCAAUGUACUCCUAGAUACCGUUUGCAACAACAGAAUGUAAGGAAAAUUUCUCUCGUUUUAAUGGAAGAAUCGCUGUC